GACGAACGCUGGCGGCGUGCUUAACACAUGCAAGUCGAGCGAUGAAGUUUUUUCGGAAAUGGAUUAGCGGCGAACGGGUGAGGAACACGUGAAGAAUCUGCCCUCCACUUUGGGAUAACACAGGGAAACCUGUGCUAAUACCGAAUAUUGAAACAUAAGUGGCAUCACUGAAUUUUGAAAGAAUUUCGGUGGAGGAUGACUUCGCGGCCUAUCAGCUAGUUGGUGAGGUAAUGGCUCACCAAGGCAACGACGGGUAACCGGCCUGAGAGGGCGACCGGUAACACGGGGAGUGAGACACGGCCAAGACUCCUACGGGAGGCAGCAGUGGGGAAUAGUGGGCAAUGGAGGGAACUCUGACGCAGGGACGCAGCGUGCGGGAUGAAGGCCUUCGGGUUGUAAACUGCUUUCAGUAGGGAAGAAGCGAAAGUGACGGUACCUACAAAAGAAGCACCGGCUAACUAUGUGCCAGCCGCCGCAGUAA
This 481-nucleotide ribosomal RNA is filed under the name uncultured bacterium. RNAcentral describes it as "partial 16S ribosomal RNA". It matches the Rfam family "Bacterial small subunit ribosomal RNA", at positions 28 to 523 of the family's 1533-position model. The record is from RNAcentral.